This 70-nucleotide transfer RNA is filed under the name Uta stansburiana. Its description in RNAcentral is "tRNA-Asp". Lineage: Eukaryota; Metazoa; Chordata; Lepidosauria; Squamata; Phrynosomatidae. The record is from RNAcentral.
AAGACCUUAGUAAAACCAUUACAUGGCCCUGUCAGAGCUAAAUUAUAGGCUACCCGGCCUAUAGGUCUUA